AUGCGAUAAGUAAUGUGAAUUGCAGAAUUCAGUGAAUCAUCGAAUCUUUGAACGCACAUUGCGCCCAUUAGUAUUCUAGUGGGCAUGCCUGUUCGAGCGUCAUUUCAACCCUUAAGCCUAGCUUAGUGUUGGGAGACUGCCUAAUACGCAGCUCCUCAAAACCAGUGGCGGAGUCGGUUCGUGCUCUGAGCGUAGUAAUUUUUUAUCUCGCUUCUGCAAGCCGGACUGGCAACAGCCAAAAACCGCACCCCUCGGGGGCACUUUUUAAUGGUUGACCUCGGAUCAGGUAGGAAUACCCGCUGAACUUAA
Molecule: unclassified non-coding RNA, 309 nt
Filed under: uncultured Monographella
Lineage: Eukaryota; Fungi; Ascomycota; Sordariomycetes; Xylariales
Description: partial contains 5.8S ribosomal RNA, internal transcribed spacer 2, and large subunit ribosomal RNA
Rfam family: 5.8S ribosomal RNA (bases 1-102)
Source: RNAcentral